AUGUUCCUGGAAUGUUCGAUGCACCUGUGUAUUUUGAACCUACAUUUGUUUAAACGGGAUUCUUAUAUUUCCAUAGUAAUGUCAAGCCUCUAUCAAUGAUAAGUGGACGACAGCGCUGUGGAUGCGGUUGCCCACCUAGCUUCGCUAGGACUCAAAAUGCAGGAGACGGCAUUCUGGGACAUAC
Molecule: non-coding RNA, 184 nt
Filed under: Clostridiales bacterium
Lineage: Bacteria; Bacillati; Bacillota; Clostridia; Eubacteriales
Description: 6S RNA
Rfam family: 6S / SsrS RNA
About the family: E. coli 6S RNA was the first non coding RNA to be sequenced, but its function was unknown until recently. It consists of 184 nucleotides that fold into an extended hairpin structure with a large single-stranded internal bulge. The 6S RNA specifically associates with RNA polymerase holoenzyme containing the sigma70 specificity factor.
Source: RNAcentral